This 74-nucleotide transfer RNA is filed under the name Marmota monax (woodchuck). RNAcentral describes it as "tRNA.Ser". The stretch from base 5 to 65 matches the Rfam family "tRNA", at positions 6 to 65 of the family's 71-position model. From Rfam's summary of the family: Transfer RNA (tRNA) molecules are approximately 80 nucleotides in length. Lineage: Eukaryota; Metazoa; Chordata; Mammalia; Rodentia; Sciuridae. The record is from RNAcentral.
UUUUUGUGUCUCAGUGGUAGAGUGCUUACCUGGAAUGUACAAGGUCCUGGGUUCAAUUCCCAGCACCUCAAAAA